ACAUCCAGAGAAUUUAGCAGAGAUGCUUUGGUGCCUUCGGGAACUCUGAGACAGGUGCUGCAUGGCUGUCGUCAGCUCGUGUUGUGAAAUGUUGGGUUAAGUCCCGNAACGAGCGCAACCCUUAUCCUUUGUUGCCAGCACGUAAUGGUGGGAACUCAAAGGAGACUGCCGGUGAUAAACCGGAGGAAGGUGGGGAUGACGUCAAGUCAUCAUGGCCCUUACGAGUAGGGCUACACACGUGCUACAAUGGCGCAUACAAAGAGAAGCGACCUCGCGAGAGCAAGCGGACCUCAUAAAGUGCGUCGUAGUCCGGAUUGGAGUCUGCAACUCGACUCCAUGAAGUCGGAAUCGCUAGUAAUCGUAAAUCAGAAUGUUACGGUGAAUACGUUCCCGGGCCUUGUACACACCGCCCGUCACACCAUGGGAGUGGGUUGCAAAAGAAGUAGAUAGCUUAACCUUCGGGAGGGCGUUUACCACUUUGUGAUUCAUGACUGGGGUGAAGUCGUAACAAGGUAAGCGUAGUGCU
Molecule: ribosomal RNA, 526 nt
Filed under: uncultured bacterium
Lineage: Bacteria
Description: bacterial SSU rRNA
Rfam family: Bacterial small subunit ribosomal RNA
Source: RNAcentral